AUUGAACGCUGGCGGCAGGCCUAACACAUGCAAGUCGAACGGUAGCACAGAGGAGCUUGCUCCUUGGGUGACGAGUGGCGGACGGGUGAGUAAUGUCUGGGAAACUGCCCGAUGGAGGGGGAUAACUACUGGAAACGGUAGCUAAUACCGCAUAACGUCGCAAGACCAAAGAGGGGGACCUUCGGGCCUCUUGCCAUCGGAUGUGCCCAGAUGGGAUUAGCUAGUAGGCGGGGUAACGGCUCACCUAGGCGACGAUCCCUAGCUGGUCUGAGAGGAUGACCAGCCACACUGGAACUGAGACACGGUCCAGACUCCUACGGGAGGCAGCAGUGGGGAAUAUUGCACAAUGGGCGCAAGCCUGAUGCAGCCAUGCCGCGUGUAUGAAGAAGGCCUUCGGGUUGUAAAGUACUUUCAGCGAGGAGGAAGGUGUUGUGGUUAAUAACCGCAGCAAUUGACGUUACUCGCAGAAGAAGCACCGGCUAAC
Molecule: ribosomal RNA, 484 nt
Filed under: well water enrichment culture
Lineage: Bacteria
Description: bacterial SSU rRNA
Rfam family: Bacterial small subunit ribosomal RNA
Source: RNAcentral